This 206-nucleotide unclassified non-coding RNA is filed under the name Hevea brasiliensis (rubber tree). Lineage: Eukaryota; Viridiplantae; Streptophyta; Magnoliopsida; Malpighiales; Euphorbiaceae. The record is from RNAcentral.
UGACGGUGAGUGCAUCUGUAGUAUCCUCUGCAAUAAAAAUAUUUUCUCAUGUUAGAGAAAACAUUUUAAAACUAAAAAUAUAUACGAUCGAUUAAUUGUCUUCAAGAUACUAAUUAAAUCCAGGAAUCUGCACUUUUGCGCGUGUCUAUAUGGCAAUUUUGCACUCAUGUGCAAAUGGAUCUUGAAUCUAACAAGCCUUGGAAUGG